UUUAUUUACAUGUUAUUGUACGUUAUGAUAUAUAAACACUCUCACGCUUCUUAUCUAAAAUUAUAAAAGAUGCAGCAAAAACACUGGAAUGCGUUUUUUUACUACUUGUCGGGUCUGUUUUAUUAUUAUGAACUACGAAGCCGGAGCUAUACACGAUGUUUUCUGUUGGAUUCAAUAUUCAUCGUUUUUUAUUAGAGUGGCUGUGCACGACGGAUGUGAUCCUCCGCGUUUUAAUAUGUGGCGGAAAACUCUGGAGAGCUCCCGUUUUGGCGGACGAACGCCGAAGUUUAACUAACCCGAACUCCAAAUAUUGCAUUGUGUGAAAUUGAGUUGGGGUACACGGGUGACAG
This is a non-coding RNA of Cinara cedri, 350 nucleotides long. The record is from the annotation of a GenBank genome assembly. NCBI's taxonomy places the organism in Eukaryota, Metazoa, Arthropoda, Insecta, Hemiptera, Aphididae.